RNAcentral lists this ribosomal RNA (3301 nucleotides) under Saccharomyces cerevisiae YJM1332. Its description in RNAcentral is "21S ribosomal RNA". The stretch from base 186 to 3149 matches the Rfam family "Bacterial large subunit ribosomal RNA". Lineage: Eukaryota; Fungi; Ascomycota; Saccharomycetes; Saccharomycetales; Saccharomycetaceae. The record is from RNAcentral.
GUAAAAAGUAGAAUAAUAGAUUUGAAAUAUUUAUUAUAUAGAUUUAAAGAGAUAAUCAUGGAGUAUAAUAAUUAAAUUUAAUAAAUUUAAUAUAACUAUUAAUAGAAUUAGGUUACUAAUAAAUUAAUAACAAUUAAUUUUAAAACCUAAAGGUAAACCUUUAUAUUAAUAAUGUUAUUUUUUAUUAUUUUUAUAAUAAGAAUAAUUAUUAAUAAUAAUAAACUAAGUGAACUGAAACAUCUAAGUAACUUAAGGAUAAUAAAUCAACAGAGAUAUUAUGAGUAUUGGUGAGAGAAAAUAAUAAAGGUCUAAUAAGUAUUAUGUGAAAAAAAUGUAAGAAAAUAGGAUAACAAAUUCUAAGACUAAAUACUAUUAAUAAGUAUAGUAAGUACCGUAAGGGAAAGUAUGAAAAUGAUUAUUUUAUAAGCAAUCAUGAAUAUAUUAUAUUAUAUUAAUGAUGUACCUUUUGUAUAAUGGGUCAGCAAGUAAUUAAUAUUAGUAAAACAAUAAGUUAUAAAUAAAUAGAAUAAUAUAUAUAUAUAAAAAAAUAUAUUAAAAUAUUUAAUUAAUAUUAAUUGACCCGAAAGCAAACGAUCUAACUAUGAUAAGAUGGAUAAACGAUCGAACAGGUUGAUGUUGCAAUAUCAUCUGAUUAAUUGUGGUUAGUAGUGAAAGACAAAUCUGGUUUGCAGAUAGCUGGUUUUCUAUGAAAUAUAUGUAAGUAUAGCCUUUAUAAAUAAUAAUUAUUAUAUAAUAUUAUAUAAAUAUUAUAUAAAGAAUGGUACAGCAAUUAAUAUAUAUUAGGGAACUAUUAAAGUUUUAUUAAUAAUAUUAAAUCUCGAAAUAUUUAAUUAUAUAUAAUAAAGAGUCAGAUUAUGUGCGAUAAGGUAAAUAAUCUAAAGGGAAACAGCCCAGAUUAAGAUAUAAAGUUCCUAAUAAAUAAUAAGUGAAAUAAAUAUUAAAAUAUUAUAAUAUAAUCAGUUAAUGGGUUUGACAAUAACCAUUUUUUAAUGAACAUGUAACAAUGCACUGAUUUAUAAUAAAUAAAAAAAAUAAUAUUUAAAAUCAAAUAUAUAUAUAUUUGUUAAUAGAUAAUAUACGGAUCUUAAUAAUAAGAAUUAUUUAAUUCCUAAUAUGGAAUAUUAUAUUUUUAUAAUAAUAAUAAAAAUAUAAAUACUGAAUAUCUAAAUAUUAUUAUUACUUUUUUUUUUAAUAAUAAUAAUAUGGUAAUAGAACAUUUAAUGAUAAUAUAUAUUAGUUAUUAAUUAAUAUAUGUAUUAAUUAAAUAGAGAAUGCUGACAUGAGUAACGAAAAAAAGGUAUAAACCUUUUCACCUAAAACAUAAGGUUUAACUAUAAAAGUACGGCCCCUAAUUAAAUUAUAUAAGAAUAUAAAUAUAUUUAAGAUGGGAUAAUCUAUAUUAAUAAAAAUUUAUCUUAAAAUAUAUAUAUUAUUAAUAAUUAUAUUAAUUAAUUAAUAAUAUAUAUAAUUAUAUUAUAUAUUAUAUUUUUAUAUAUAAUAUAUAUAAUAUAAACUAAUAAAGAUCAGGAAAUAAUUAAUGUAUACCGUAAUGUAGACCGACUCAGGUAUGUAAGUAGAGAAUAUGAAGGUGAAUUAGAUAAUUAAAGGGAAGGAACUCGGCAAAGAUAGCUCAUAAGUUAGUCAAUAAAGAGUAAUAAGAACAAAGUUGUACAACUGUUUACUAAAAACACCGCACUUUGCAGAAACGAUAAGUUUAAGUAUAAGGUGUGAACUCUGCUCCAUGCUUAAUAUAUAAAUAAAAUUAUUUAACGAUAAUUUUAUUAAAUUUAGGUAAAUAGCAGCCUUAUUAUGAGGGUUAUAAUGUAGCGAAAUUCCUUGGCCUAUAAUUGAGGUCCCGCAUGAAUGACGUAAUGAUACAACAACUGUCUCCCCUUUAAGCUAAGUGAAAUUGAAAUCGUAGUGAAGAUGCUAUGUACCUUCAGCAAGACGGAAAGACCCUAUGCAGCUUUACUGUAAUUAGAUAGAUCGAAUUAUUGUUUAUUAUAUUCAGCAUAUUAAGUAAUCCUAUUAUUAGGUAAUCGUUUAGAUAUUAAUGAGAUACUUAUUAUAAUAUAAUGAUAAUUCUAAUCUUAUAAAUAAUUAUUAUUAUUAUUAUUAAUAAUAAUAAUAUGCUUUCAAGCAUAGUGAUAAAACAUAUUUAUAUGAUAAUCACUUUACUUAAUAGAUAUAAUUCUUAAGUAAUAUAUAAUAUAUAUUAUAUAUAUAUUAUAUAUAAUAUAAGAGACAAUCUCUAAUUGGUAGUUUUGAUGGGGCGUCAUUAUCAGCAAAAGUAUCUGAAUAAGUCCAUAAAUAAAUAUAUAAAAUUAUUGAAUAAAAAAAAUAAUAUAUAUUAUAUAUAUUAAUUAUAAAUUGAAAUAUGUUUAUAUAAAUUUAUAUUUAUUGAAUAUAUUUUAGUAAUAGAUAAAAAUAUGUACAGUAAAAUUGUAAGGAAAACAAUAAUAACUUUCUCCUCUCUCGGUGGGGGUUCACACCUAUUUUUAAUAGGUGUGAACCCCUCUUCGGGGUUCCGGUUCCCUUUCGGGUCCCGGAACUUAAAUAAAAAUGGAAAGAAUUAAAUUAAUAUAAUGGUAUAACUGUGCGAUAAUUGUAACACAAACGAGUGAAACAAGUACGUAAGUAUGGCAUAAUGAACAAAUAACACUGAUUGUAAAGGUUAUUGAUAACGAAUAAAAGUUACGCUAGGGAUAACAGGGUAAUAUAGCGAAAGAGUAGAUAUUGUAAGCUAUGUUUGCCACCUCGAUGUCGACUCAACAUUUCCUCUUGGUUGUAAAAGCUAAGAAGGGUUUGACUGUUCGUCAAUUAAAAUGUUACGUGAGUUGGGUUAAAUACGAUGUGAAUCAGUAUGGUUCCUAUCUGCUGAAGGAAAUAUUAUCAAAUUAAAUCUCAUUAUUAGUACGCAAGGACCAUAAUGAAUCAACCCAUGGUGUAUCUAUUGAUAAUAAUAUAAUAUAUUUUAUAAAAAUAAUACUUUAUUAAUAUAUUAUCUAUAUUAGUUUAUAUUUUAAUUAUAUAUUAUCAUAGUAGAUAAGCUAAGUUGAUAAUAAAUAAAUAUUGAAUACAUAUUAAAUAUGAAGUUGUUUUAAUAAGAUAAUUAAUCUGAUAAUUUUAUACUAAAAUUAAUAAUUAUAGGUUUUAUAUAUUAUUUAUAAAUAUAAUAUAAUAAUUAUUAUUAUUAAUAAAAAAAAUAUUAAUUAUAAUAUUAAUAAAAUACUAAUUUAUCAGUUAUCUAUAUAAUAUCUAAUCUAUUAUUCUAUAUACU